RNAcentral lists this transfer RNA (82 nucleotides) under Citrobacter freundii. RNAcentral describes it as "tRNA-OTHER". Lineage: Bacteria; Pseudomonadati; Pseudomonadota; Gammaproteobacteria; Enterobacterales; Enterobacteriaceae. The record is from RNAcentral.
UGGCACAUAGCUGCCAUUGAAAUGGUUGCGCACCGUAAUGGGGUGUCGGGGGUCGGAGGUUCAAAUCCUCUCGUGCCGACCA